GGGAGUGUGGUGAAAUGGUAAACACAUUGUAUUUAGAAUCCAAUUUUUACAGGUUCAACUCCUGUCGCUCUUA
RNAcentral lists this transfer RNA (73 nucleotides) under Plenaster craigi. Its description in RNAcentral is "tRNA-Leu". It matches the Rfam family "tRNA". Rfam says of the family: Transfer RNA (tRNA) molecules are approximately 80 nucleotides in length. Their secondary structure includes four short double-helical elements and three loops (D, anti-codon, and T loops). Further hydrogen bonds mediate the characteristic L-shaped molecular structure. tRNAs have two regions of fundamental functional importance: the anti-codon, which is responsible for specific mRNA codon recognition, and the 3' end, to which the tRNAs corresponding amino acid is attached (by aminoacyl-tRNA synthetases). tRNAs cope with the degeneracy of the genetic code in two manners: having more than one tRNA (with a specific anti-codon) for a particular amino acid; and 'wobble' base-pairing, i.e. permitting non-standard base-pairing at the 3rd anti-codon position. Lineage: Eukaryota; Metazoa; Porifera; Demospongiae; Axinellida; Stelligeridae. The record is from RNAcentral.